RNAcentral lists this unclassified non-coding RNA (209 nucleotides) under Glomus sp. RNAcentral's name for it is "partial contains 5.8S ribosomal RNA and internal transcribed spacer 2". The stretch from base 1 to 65 matches the Rfam family "5.8S ribosomal RNA", at positions 84 to 154 of the family's 154-position model. Lineage: Eukaryota; Fungi; Glomeromycota; Glomeromycetes; Glomerales; Glomeraceae. The record is from RNAcentral.
GUGAAUCAUCAAAUUUUUGAACGCAAAUUGCACUCUCUUCGGAGAGUAUGCCUGUUUGAGGGUCAGCCUAUAAAAAAUCGACGUCGUUGCUGUUUCGCGGUGACAUUCGUCGGAAAUUGGGUCAUCUUAAACCUUUGGGUUUUUUAAGCGGCUUAAAAUUUUCUUUACGAUUAUAAGCAUUUUUCUAAGCUAUUACUUCUUACAUAUGU